RNAcentral lists this ribosomal RNA (253 nucleotides) under uncultured bacterium. RNAcentral describes it as "partial 16S ribosomal RNA". It matches the Rfam family "Bacterial small subunit ribosomal RNA", at positions 524 to 776 of the family's 1533-position model. The record is from RNAcentral.
UACGUAGGUGGCAAGCGUUGUCCGGAUUUACUGGGCGUAAAGAGCGCGCAGGCGGUCGUUCAAGUCGCGUGUGAAAGCCCCCGGCUCAACUGGGGAGGGUCACGCGAUACUGAUCGACUCGAAGGCAGGAGAGGGAAGUGGAAUUCCCGGUGUAGUGGUGAAAUGCGUAGAGAUCGGGAGGAACACCUGUGGCGAAGGCGGCAUCCUGGCCCUGUCCUGACGCUCAGGGGCGAAAGCGUGGGGAGCAAACCGG